Molecule: ribosomal RNA, 433 nt
Filed under: uncultured bacterium
Lineage: Bacteria
Description: partial 16S ribosomal RNA
Rfam family: Bacterial small subunit ribosomal RNA
Source: RNAcentral
AACGAACGCUGGCGGCAGGCCUAACACAUGCAAGUCGAGCGGACCUUUCGGGGUCAGCGGCGGACGGGUGAGUAACGCGUGGGAAUAUGCCCUUCUCUACGGAAUAGUCCUGGGAAACUGGGGGUAAUACCGUAUACGCCCUUUGGGGGAAAGAUUUUUCGGGGAAGGAUUAGCCCGCGUUGGAUUAGGUGGUUGGUGGGGGAAUGGCCUACCAAGCCGACGAUCCAUAGCUGGUUUGAGAGGAUGAUCAGCCACACUGGGACUGAGACACGGACCAGACUCCUACGGGAGGCAGCAGUGGAGAAUCUUAGACAAUGGGGGCAACCCUGAUAAAGCCAUGCCGCGUGAGUGAUGAAGGCCUUAGGGUUGUAAAGCUCUUUCAGCUGGGAAGAUAAUGACGGUACCAGCAGAAGAAGCCCCGGCUAACUCCGUG